AACGAACGCUGGCGGCAUGCCUAACACAUGCAAGUCGAACGGAACCUUCGGGUCUAGUGGCGCACGGGUGCGUAACGCGGGGGAACCUGCCCGUAGGUUCGGAAUAACUCCCCGUAAGGGGUGCUAAUACCGGAUAAUGUCAUCCGACCAAAGAUGUAUCGCCUUUGGAUGGGCCUGCGUUGGAUUAGCUAGUUGGUAGGGUAAAAGCCUAUCAAGGCGACGAUCCAUAGCUGGUCUGAGAGAAUGAUCCGCCACACUGGGGCUAAGACACGGCCCAGACUGCUAGGGGAGGGAGCAGUGGGGAAUAUUGGAGGAUGGGCGAAAGUCUGAUCAAGCAAUGCCGGGUAAGUGAUGAAGGCGUUAGGGUUGUAAAGCUCUUUUACACGGGAUGAUAAUGACAGUACCGGGAGAAUAAGCUCCGGCUAACUACGUG
This 433-nucleotide ribosomal RNA is filed under the name uncultured bacterium. RNAcentral's name for it is "partial 16S ribosomal RNA". It matches the Rfam family "Bacterial small subunit ribosomal RNA", at positions 29 to 507 of the family's 1533-position model. The record is from RNAcentral.